GAUCCGGCUCAGGAUGAACGCUAGCGACAGGCCUAACACAUGCAAGUCGAGGGGCAGCGGGGAGGUAGCAAUACCUUUGCCGGCGACCGGCGCACGGGUGAGUAACACGUAUGCAAUCCACCUGUAACAGGGGGAUAACCCGGAGAAAUCCGGACUAAUACCCCAUGAUAUGGGCUCUCCGCAUGGGGGGUCCAUUAAAGAGAGCAAUCUUGGUUACAGACGAGCAUGCGCUCCAUUAGCCAG
This 243-nucleotide ribosomal RNA is filed under the name uncultured bacterium. RNAcentral's name for it is "partial 16S ribosomal RNA". It matches the Rfam family "Bacterial small subunit ribosomal RNA", at positions 15 to 248 of the family's 1533-position model. The record is from RNAcentral.